UACGAAGGGUGCAAGCGUUUAUUCGGAUUUAUUGGGCGUAAAGGGUUCGUAGGCGGGAUUAUAAGUCAAGUGUGAAAUCCCCAAGCUUAACUUGGGACGUGCAUUUGAAACUGUGAUUCUUGAGUCAUUGAGAGGGUGGUGGAAUUGUUGGUGUAGGAGUGACAUCCGUAGAGAUCAACAGGAACAUCAGAGGCGAAAAGCGGCCACCUGGCAAUGU
RNAcentral lists this ribosomal RNA (217 nucleotides) under uncultured bacterium. RNAcentral's name for it is "partial 16S ribosomal RNA". It matches the Rfam family "Bacterial small subunit ribosomal RNA", at positions 524 to 738 of the family's 1533-position model. The record is from RNAcentral.